UAUGAUGUUAGCACAAGGGUGAAAUCACCUA
This 31-nucleotide non-coding RNA is filed under the name Homo sapiens (human). Lineage: Eukaryota; Metazoa; Chordata; Mammalia; Primates; Hominidae. The record is from RNAcentral.